UUUUUCCCCUUUUUUUUUUUUUUAACUUUUUAACUCCUUUUUCUAAUGAUGUUUGAAAAACUCCAAACUUUUUUUAGACCCAUUUUUGCAGAUUUAAUAUAUAUCCUGUCCCUGUCGGCUUCUUUUUAGGAAACCAACGCAUUAAAAUAGGAUAUGUUAUAGUAGGAAUUCUGAUAUGGAAGCGUUACAGGAUCUGGAAGAAAAACCGCCGUCCCACUGAAAAGACAGAGGAUGAACCCAAAGAACAAAAAAAGUCUCCAAAAACAGUUCCACGUGAAGACUUUGAGAAAAUCGAGUCCCUGAAUGUGAUUGUUAAGGAUAUAUGGCAUCUUCUUUCCAAAUACGUGGAAAAGAUGAUUCGAGAGAGGAUUCAGCCUGACAUACGCGCCAAAAGCAAUUAUCUUGCCUCGUUCCGUUUCAUCAAUAUCGAUUUUGGCACGAAGGUAAUGAUCUCUUUCUGUACUUGGGUUAUUCCUCUUCUUGUAAAUAGAUUUCUUGUAACACCCCAAUCUUUAUGCUCAGCCCCCACAGGUAAAGUCUUGGAAAACUCAUGCGGAUCCAGAAAAAAAGCAAAUAAUGUUGGAUCUCGAUAUCAGUUAUAAUGCCGACAUAAAGGUGGAUGCUGGUUUUACGGAAAAAACCCGAUAGCCGGCAUCAAAUCUAUAAAGGUGAGCCUACCAGUCUUAUAUCGCGUACGUUAGCUGCUUCCUUUGCAUUUAUUAUAUAUAUAAACAUUACUUUCUCUUUUGCAGCUGGAGGGAAUCUUGCGGUUAAUUUUGGCACCGCUGAUGGAGGACUCACCCAUAUUUGGAGCACUGAUCGUUUAUUUCCCUCAUCGUCCAGUAAGUUAAGAUUUGGAGCUGGUAAGAUGAAGGUAGAAUUCAUAUGUAGUUAGGAAACCGUCGAUAUUUCUAGUUCUGUAGUCUGAACUCUUCAAUGUGACUGUGCAUUUAUUGCAGGUAUUGGAACUACAAUGGACCGGAUUUGCCCACCUACUGAAUAUUCCUGGACUUCAGUAAGUUGACUUAUAUGUAUUCAUACUCUGCCCUUCCUUUCCCAGCUAUUGCUUUUGUCUUUAAUCAAAAACGUUAUUGCGCUUUAUUCCUCUCCCAAUUCCCUACCUGCUCUAUCUAGCUUAUUUGUACAUUGGAAUAACAUACAUAUUUCCUUCUCCCAUCUCCUUCAGAACGCUGUCGGAAAAAGAGCUUGUGAACCAAAUCGGACAGAUCAUCAUUGCGCCGCAGCAUUUCAGCCAUCCCCUUGCAGCCAGAUUUGAUUUGGCUAAGCUGCAGUUUUUAGAACCCUGGGUAAGGCCUAGUUUGUAUUUUAUAGCCUUCCUGCUUCCCUGUAGAGAGUCAAGGGGGCAAAUUCACUAAGA
Long non-coding RNA from Xenopus laevis (African clawed frog), 1378 nucleotides. RefSeq lists it as uncharacterized. NCBI's taxonomy places the organism in Eukaryota, Metazoa, Chordata, Amphibia, Anura, Pipidae. The transcript has 4 exons. The record is from RefSeq and is a predicted model, not a curated record.